GUUUUCCUCCCGCAAUUUAUCAAUACUUCCGUCAACAGCUUGAUUCCCCGGACUGGCCCGCUUGCUUCCCUCAGCUCUGGCUGGGUUAACUCUAGUUGGGAUUUCGAUAAUUCGGUUGUUAUCUCUGCUAACUUCGUCGCCGCUGAUAGAUCUAUCAGCUCCGACUCUGUGUCCAACUCCUGAAUAUUCUGGAAUAACCGAAGUAAUUGCGUCCAGACUGCUUGACUGUUUUUUUGAAAAUCUGUCUUUCUUUCCUCUAAGUUCUUCAAAGCUAAGAUUAAUGAUGGAAGUAGAUGAACUACUUUCGGAUAAACUGCAUUCGGCCCUAGUAUUACUCCUUCUACUGUUCUUCGAAUCCGAAAUUCUAUUUGUUCCGCUACUAAUCUGUUCGAUUGAAUUUCGAAAUGGUCUGCCAUUCGUUGUUUUCUCUUUGAAAAGAUUUGAGAGACGACGUGUCCACUCUAUUAUUGGUGUAAUUCGACGAGAAGAUUUGGGCGUGGAAGAAUCAGUGAGAUAAGGCAACAAAGGGGAGGAAACGUCGUCACUACUUUUAAAAACUGUUUCUUCUUCGCGAAUCCAUUGUCUACGUGGGGGUGUUUUUAAUAACGGAUCUACUUGCUGAUAACCGGAGUAUGAUCUAAGUUUUUUCUGGAUUUCACUGUACACCCUGGUUCUUAAUUCUUUAUCGGUAGAUCCCUGAAUUUUCCGGACAGGAUCCUGGAUGAGCUUCGCACUUCCAGUAUCGACAAUAUUUGCAAAACUUUCUUGACAAUCAGAAACUACAGAAUUCAACGGAAUCGGGGAAACAGGUGGGGCAUGGAUCUCGACUUCAACAACGUUGUACAAGGGAUUCGAUACACUUAUAAUAGGCGUGCGUACAAGUUUAGGUCUAGCACCAAAUACAUCAUUAUUCAACAUUGUGGGUGAGUUCUAAAAUCGCUGCCACCAUUAUGUAAAGAUCCAUCCUCUCGGACGGAAUAACUUUACAAAGAGAAGACUAAAAAUAAUAAAGAAUAAACAACCAGAGGCGUUUUACCCACAAGCCGAUGUAUUGGACUAACACUAAUAACUAGUAGCACAAAUAAUAAUUAAGAAUAACAUACCGUUACUGAGAUGAAAAAUAGAAGAAAUAGGAGACAGGAUAAGACACUUGUUGACACAGCACUAGAACUCAACACAGAGCUCAACACUAAUAAUUCUCGGUACACAAGAAGGGACCGGUAACUGUUAGACACGAUUGAAGAAGGGAACUAAGAUAAAUUAAGACUAGAACAGGAACACAAGACGGAAGUAAAUCAAGAACUAAAGACUGGAAGAGAACUAAGACUGAACUGGAACUGAAAGAGACUGAAAGGAACUGAAGCUGGCAGAUCGAGAGUUCCUUAUAAACCCUCGUACAAAAUGCUAAAUAUAAAUGUUUGCAAAUCGAGAACAAAGGUAAGAACAUUCCAGAUUGGCAGCUGCAAACAAACGUGUUUGUAGCUGCAAAUCUAGCUUCAUAAUUCUAAUUAAGCUGGUUUAAGCAUAAUAAAAUUAUAAUAAUGGAAGAAGCAGUACAUGAAGCGUAUACAAUAAAAGCUUGGCCAAAAUAACUAUAGCGCUUGUUUCGCACAUGACUAUAUAUGGUAUGCGUGAAUAAUAUUCAAAUAAAAUAGUAUAAUAAUUCAGCGCGCGCUAUCUAAGCGGACGCUUCAUUACAAUACUAAUACACCAUGCCACCACCACCUUGUCAGCUGUGCUGUGCGGGUACCAGGCUACCAGCAGCUUUUCAGUGUCUGCCUGUCGGUUGCCCCAGAAGGACGUGUCUGUGCGUGUCGUUUUUUUGAAAAAACUUUGUUACUAUUUUUUAAUUCAGUGAACUUUUACCAACAACCAAAUUUUAAAUCAUGAAACGUCCCACGGAUUAGACGAGAAAAUUUUUGUGAAUUUUUUUUCAAAAUUUUCCGAGAAAAUAAAUUUAACUUAAUCGCCGAAAAAAGAAAAAUUUGAUUUUUUGGAAAAAAUGGUGGUCGUGAAAUUAAUUGUGAUUGUUUUAGUGUUGUUUUUCCGGUUGUCUGUCGUCGAUUCGGAUGGUUCUUCGUCAGUGAUUCAGCGAUUAAUCGUCCGUCUAGAAGAUCCGUCAUCUCAUCCGUCAUCCGACAAUGGCACACUCUUUAAACAAAUUGAGGCAUUGAUAAACAUGGAUUUCAUUGCUCGAAUAUUCCCAGCCAUAGUGAGAUUUUCUUGACUGGACAUGACUAAAAGGACUUGAGGGAAAAUGUCUACUACUACGUCACCUCUCAAACGGAUCUUUCAACAUGGAUUUCCCACCUGUCUUGUGUCCUGAACGAAGAUGGGUGAGAACAAUUUUAAAAGUUUAAAUAGUCUAGCUUGUAUUUAUUGAUUUUAAAAUACAAAAUUUAAAUUGCA
Long non-coding RNA from Daphnia pulex (common water flea), 2409 nucleotides. RefSeq lists it as uncharacterized. Lineage: Eukaryota; Metazoa; Arthropoda; Branchiopoda; Diplostraca; Daphniidae. The transcript is spliced from 3 exons. The record is from RefSeq and is a predicted model, not a curated record.